AAUAUUGCACAAUGGAGGGAACGCUGAUGCAGCGACGCCGCGUGAACGAUGAAGGCCUUCGGGUCGUAAAGUUCUGUCCUUGGGGACGAUAAUGGCGGUACCCAAGGAGGAAGCCCCGGCUAACUACGUGCCAGCAGCCGCGGUAAUACGUAGGGGGCGAGCGUUGUCCGGAAUUAUUGGGCGUAAAGGGUUCGCAGGCGGCCUUUUAAGUCAGAUGUGAAAGCCCACGGCUCGACCGUGGCAAGCAUUUGAAACUGGAAGGCUUGAGUUAAGGAGAGGAAAGUGGAAUUCCUAGUGUAGCGGUGAAAUGCGUAGAUAUUAGGAGGAAUACCAGUGGCGAAGGCGACUUUCUGGACUUAUACUGACGCUGAGGAACGAAAGCGUGGGGAGCAAACA
This 396-nucleotide ribosomal RNA is filed under the name uncultured bacterium. RNAcentral describes it as "partial 16S ribosomal RNA". It matches the Rfam family "Bacterial small subunit ribosomal RNA", at positions 360 to 774 of the family's 1533-position model. The record is from RNAcentral.